Scylla paramamosain (green mud crab) is the source of this 5645-nucleotide long non-coding RNA. RefSeq lists it as uncharacterized. The transcript has 3 exons. The record is from RefSeq and is a predicted model, not a curated record. Lineage: Eukaryota; Metazoa; Arthropoda; Malacostraca; Decapoda; Portunidae.
AGCAGAUUCCCACUGUUUAUCCACUGUUUGUGUUGAUCUAGUGUUUGGCCAGCCAGUUGUGUGUUUUGGGGGCUCAGACCAGCAGAUUCCCACUGUUUAUUCACUGUUUGUGUUGAUCUAGUGUUUGGCCAGCCACUUGUGUGUUUUGGGGGCUCAGACCAGCAGAUUCUCACUGUUUAUUCACUGUUUGUGUUGAUCUAGUGUUUGGCCAGCCACUUGUGUGUAUGUAGGGGACUCAGACCAGCAGAUUCCCACUGUUUAUCCAUUGUUUGUGUUGAUGCAGUGUUUAGCCAGCCACUUGUGUGUAUGUAGGGGACUCAGACCAGCAGAUUCCCACUGUUUAUCCACUGUUUGUGUUGAUGCAGUGUUUGGCCAGCCACUUGUGUGUAUGUAGGGGACUCAGACCAGCAGAUUCCCACUGUUUAUUCACUGUUUGUGUUGAUGCAGUAUUUGGCCAGCCACUUGUGUGUAUGUAGCGGACUCAGACCAGCAGAUUCCCACUGUUUAUCCACUGUUUGUGUUGAUGCAGUGUUUGGCCAGCCACUUGUGUGUUUUGGGGGCUCAGACCAGCAGAUUCCUACUAUUUAUCCACUGUUUGUGUUGAUCUAGUGUUUGGCCAGCCACUUGUGUUUAUGUAGGGGACUCAGACCAGCAGAUUCCCACUGUUUAUCCACUGUUUGUGUUGAUCUAGUGUUUGGCCAGCCAUUUGUGUGUUUUGGGGGCUCAGACCAGCAGAUUCCCACUGUUUAUUCACUGUUUGUGUUGAUCUAGUGUUUGGCCAGCCACUAGUGUGUUUUGGGGGCUCAGACCAGCAGAUUCUCACUGUUUAUUCACUGUUUGUGUUGAUCUAGUGUUUGGCCAGCCACUUGUGUGUAUGUAGGGGACUCAGACCAGCAGAUUCCCACUGUUUAUUCACUGUUUGUGUUGAUGCAGUAUUUGGCCAGCCACUUGUGUGUAUGUAGCGGACUCAGACCAGCAGAUUCCCACUGUUUAUCCACUGUUUGUGUUGAUGCAGUGUUUGGCCAGCCACUUGUGUGUUUUGGGGGCUCAGACCAGCAGAUUCCUACUAUUUAUCCACUGUUUGUGUUGAUCUAGUGUUUGGCCAGCCACUUGUGUUUAUGUAGGGGACUCAGACCAGCAGAUUCCCACUGUUUAUCCACUGUUUGUGUUGAUCUAGUGUUUGGCCAGCCACUUGUGUGUUUUGGGGGCUCAGACCAGCAGAUUCCCACUGUUUAUUCACUGUUUGUGUUGAUCUAGUGUUUGGCCAGCCACUAGUGUGUUUUGGGGGCUCAGACCAGCAGAUUCUCACUGUUUAUUCACAGUUUGUGUUGAUCUAGUGUUUGGCCAGCCACUUGUGUGUAUGUAGGGGACUCAGACCAGCAGAUUCCCACUGUUUAUUCACUGUUUGUGUUGAUCUAGUGUUUGGCCAGCCACUUGUGUGUAUGUAGGGGACUCAGACCAGCAGAUUCCCACUGUUUAUCCAUUGUUUGUGUUGAUGCAGUGUUUGGCCAGCCACUUGUGUGUAUGUAGGGGACUCAGACCAGCAGAUUCCCACUGUUUAUCCACUGUUUGUGUUGAUGCAGUGUUUGGCCAGCCACUUGUGUGUAUGUAGGGGACUCAGACCAGCAGAUUCCCACUGUUUAUUCACUGUUUGUGUUGAUGCAGUGUUUGGCCAGCCACUUGUGUGUAUGUAGGGGACUCAGACCAGCAGAUUCCCACUGUUUAUCCACUGUUUGUGUUGAUGCAGUGUUUGGCCAACCACUUGUGUGUUUUGGGGGCUCAGACCAGCAGAUUCCUACUAUUUAUCCACUGUUUGAGUUGAUCUAGUGUUUGGCCAGCCACUUGUGUUUAUGUAGGGGACUCAGACCAGCAGAUUCCCACUGUUUAUCCACUGUUUGUGUUGAUCUAGUGUUUGGCCAGCCACUUGUGUGUUUUGGGGGCUCAGACCAGCAGAUUCCCACUGUUUAUUCACUGUUUGUGUUGAUCUAGUGUUUGGCCAGCCACUAGUGUGUUUUGGGGGCUCAGACCAGCAGAUUCUCACUGUUUAUUCACUGUUUGUGUUGAUGCAGUGUUUGGCCAGCCACUUGUGUGUAUGUAGGGGACUCAGACCAGCAGAUUCCCACUGUUUAUCCAUUGUUUGUGUUGAUGCAGUGUUUGGCCAGCCACUUGUGUGUAUGUAGGGGACUGAGACAAGUUUAUUUAAUGUUCAGUGACCCAUUUGCAGGCACAGGGGUGUUGAGGAGCUGGGUGUGCAGGAGACAGACAAUUACAAAGGUUUACAGUUCAAAUGCUACAUGUAUCUUCAAAAUACAGAUAAUAAGUAGAUAAAUAUUGAAAUUAAUAUAAAAUACCAUUCUUUAUUUAACACUUAACCAAACUUAACCAACAUACACACACACGCUAACUCAGACAGUUCCCUAACUACCUUACCAUCCCGCAGGAGGCCAUGUCGGAGGUGCCGGUGGUGGGGUCGCCAGUUCCGGAGUACGAGGUGGAGGAGGAAAAGGAAGAGGAGGACGAGGAGGAGGCACGGAUAAGGAAGAAGAAAAGAUUAUUACCUGUAGCCCUCCCUCCAGCUGAUAAGGGGAUAUUAAGGAGCCCUUCCUACAGGUUCGUUCGAUGCAAGGAGUUGGCACAGGAGGCGUCCGAGGCUGUGUAGAGCGGCCGUCUGAACCUGGUGCCACAGCUUACUAUGUUCAACAGAUGCCUGAAGGAAGUGUGUGUAAGGGAGGAUAAAGAGAUCAUGCUGGCCUAUGCAGACGAUGUCGCUGUCGUGACAGGAACCCAACAAGAUCUUCAAGAGGCCAUGACAAGAUGGAAUGAUGUUUUAAAUAGGGAAGGAAUGAGAAUGAACAAACAAAAAACAGAAAUAAUGAAAGUUGGCAGAAUAAAGGAGGAAUGUAAUAUUUACAUAGAAAACGUUAAACUGAAGCAGACCAACAAAUUUUGUUAUCUGGGAGUACUUUUCGAUGAGGAAAACAGACAGAAUAUAGAAAUUUUAAAUAGAAUACAGAAGUACAAUGCAAAUGUCAGUGCAUUGUAUCCCAUACUUAAAGAUAAGAAUAUUCCAACAAAAGUUAAAACCAUAAUAUUUACAACAAUACUAAGACCAGUACUUCUAUAUGUUUCAGAAACUUGGACAGUGACAACAAGAACAUCUUCACAAAUACAAGCAGCAGAAAUGAGAGUUCUGAGAAUGAUCCGAGGUGUGACCAGACUUGAUAGAAUUAGAAAUGAAGAAACCAGAGAGAGAUUAGGGAUAACAUCUGUACUGAAGAUAAUUGAAAAGAACAAAUUGAGAUGGUAUGGACAUGUCCGAAGAAUGGAAGAUACAAGAUACGCAAGGAAGUUUCUGGAAUGGGUUCCUCUAGGCAGGAGGCCGGUGGGACGACCUAGGAAGCGAUGGAUGCAGGGAGUUGAAGAAGCUACUGAACGAAGAGGAAGAAAUCUACAAGAAAUAACCAGAGAUGAGGAUUUCAUGGAUAGAGACCUUUGGAGAAGAUUUGUAGAGGCCGGACACUGACAGGCAUUGCCUACCUUGCGUCUGCUGAGAAAGUAACUGUAGGAAGAAUGCAGGAAAUGGAGGAGGAGGAGGAGGAGGAGGAGGAGAAAAUGAGUAGAAAACAAGAAAAUUAGAAUAAGCAGAUGGAAUAAAGAGGAAGAAGAAGAAGAAAAGGAGGAAGAAGAAGAGAAGGAGGAAGAGGAGGAAGAAAAGGAGGAGGAGGAGGAAGAAGAAGAAAAAUAAUCACAUUAAGCUGGAGAGGAAAGCAAGAAUAAGCAGGAAGGAGGAGGAGGAGGAGGAGGAGGAGGAGGAGGAGCAGCAGGAGGAGGAAGAGGAGGAGGAGGAGGAAGGCUAAGCAGGAGAUACCCUCCCUUGCUCUAGUUCAGCAGGAGGCAUGGCCGGAGGAGGAGGAGGAGGAGGAGGAACAGCUUUUUUGGGAGUUCUUAAAGAUCGCGUACCUUGAGGCUGCUCCUCCUCCUCCUCCUCCUCCUCCUCCUCCUCCUCCUCCUCCUCCUCCUCCUCCUCCUCCUCUCUCUCUCUCUCUCUCUCUCUCUCUCUCUCUCUCUCUCUCUCUCUCUCUCUCUCUCUCUCUCUCUCUCUCUCUCUCUCUCUCUCUCUCUCUCUCUCUCUCUCUCUCUCUCUCUCUCUCUCUCUCUCUCUCUCUCUCUCUCUCUCUCUCUCUCUCUCUCUCUCUACAGCCUACAGACUCACUAUUUGCUUAACCACACCUCUUGCCUGAAACAAAUGAAAAACUUUUAUCCUUCUCCAAUCACAUUUCAAUUUUGUACUUAGUCACAAUCACACAGUAUAUGUUGUUAAUUUCAACUUUACAACAAGGUGACAACAUUUCAUCUAUUUAUACAUACUUUUUAUUAUUAAAGCUUAUCUUAUAAUUAUUUCUGAAGAGAUUGACUAAUUUUUGUAGUAUUUAUGACUUAGAACUAUGAUAAAGCUAUGAAUUGAUAUAAUUCCUGAUUUGUUUUAUCUUUUCAUUAUACUUCCUUUGUUAAUUGAGCAUUUUAUAUUACUUAGCUUAAAAAUGCAAGAACGGUUCAGAAGUAUCCAACCUUGGGCUAAGGGCCAAAAUUAUGGUAUCAUUCAAAAUGUCCUUCAAAGAAAGCCCUCUGUAAUCCAACACACUUAGCCCAUUAAUCCUUCCAUUUCUCAUCAAUUUGUUCAACAUACAUAUUUUUCCCUUAUAGGGUUGAACAAUUUUCAUGGGUUCAGAGCAAAAGGCUUCCUCAUUCCUCCCCAAGGUACUCUCGGAUGGUAAGCAGGUUUGACUCUGGAGCAAACCUGACCAAGGGCUACUGCCCAAGGCUACAGAGGUUCCUCUCCCUGAGGCUGAAUGCACCAUGUGAGAUGGUUCUGUUAUGUGGAUGAAUGUCAUGGUGGAUAGCAGUGCCACCACAUUCCUACAAUCAUCCAUCACUCCACUGCUCAAACACUUCUGCAACCAAUGAUAGGUAUGCUGCCACAUUCUGCAUGGUCUCCUUGGCUCUCAGAUAAGGAUACUGUCAACAGGUUUGGGAUUGCCAAAAAAUCAUAAGGAGCUAUGUCUGAAAAGUUCAGAGAGAGAGAGAGAGAGAGAGAGAGAGAAAGAAUGAGCAAGAGAAAGAGUAGGAUGAAGCAAAGGAAGAGUCAAGAGGGAGGAAGAGAGAGUAGGACAAGAAAAAACAGAACAAAUAAAUCCCCUACACGUCUUGUCUCCAUUCACACAAGCCAUGAAAAGCUUGUCCAUCCCUGAGUGCUCAGAAGCAGUGUUCCACUGAUGAUGUGGAAACUUGAGACACCCAAUCAUUUAAUGGGCUUUAGUAGGUUUUGUCACCAGUCUUCUGUGUGUCACUGACUACAUUUUGAAAUUUUUAUCUGUUCUAUUUAAUUUUGUGUGUAUGUACACAAUGUUUAUGGUCAAUAAACUAUUUAUAAAACUAUUUAUCUGUGUGAGUAAGAUAAAAGCAGUUAUUAUUAUUAUUAUUAUUAUUAUUAUUAUUAUUAUUAUUAUUAUUAUUAUUAUUAUUAUUAUUAUUAUUAUUACACAUUUUCCUCCUUGUAUUUAAAUAUUAUUAUUAUUAUUAUUAUUAUUAUUAUUAUUAUUAUUAUCAUGAAUUGUUCUUGUUUAUAAAUAAAAUACUGUAACUGA